GAUGAACGCUGGCGGCGUGCCUAAUACAUGCAAGUCGAGCGAACGGACGAGAAGCUUGCUUCUCUGAUGUUAGCGGCGGACGGGUGAGUAACACGUGGAUAACCUACCUAUAAGACUGGGAUAACUUCGGGAAACCGGAGCUAAUACCGGAUAAUAUUUUGAACCGCAUGGUUCAAAAGUGAAAGACGGUCUUGCUGUCACUUAUAGAUGGAUCCGCGCUGCAUUAGCUAGUUGGUAAGGUAACGGCUUACCUAGGCAACGAUGCAUAGCCGAACUGAGAGGGUGAGCCGCCAGCCUGAGACUGAGACACGGCCCAGGCGACUACGGGAGGCAGCAGGAGGGAAUCUUUGGCAAUGGACGAAAGUCCGAACGAGGAACGCCGAGGGAGUGAAGAAGGUUUUCGGAACGGAAAGCUCGGUUGUAAGAGAAGAACGGGUGUGAGAGUGGAAAGUUCACAAUGUGACGGUAUCUUACCAGAAAGAGACGGCUAACUACGUG
Molecule: ribosomal RNA, 498 nt
Filed under: uncultured bacterium
Lineage: Bacteria
Description: partial 16S ribosomal RNA
Rfam family: Bacterial small subunit ribosomal RNA
Source: RNAcentral